GAUGAACGCUGGCGGCGUGCUUAACACAUGCAAGUCGAACGAAGCACUUUAAUCGAUUUCUUCGGAUUGAAAUUUUAGUGACUGAGUGGCGGACGGGUGAGUAACGCGUGGGUAACCUGCCUCACACAGGGGGAUAACAGUUGGAAACGGCUGCUAAUACCGCAUAAGCGCACAGUACCGCAUGGUACGGUGUGAAAAACUCCGGUGGUGUGAGAUGGACCCGCGGCUGAUUAGCUAGUUGGCAGGGCAGCGGGCUACCAAGGCGACGAUCAGUAGCCGGCCUGGGAGGGUGACCGGCCACAUUGGGACUGAGACACGGCCCAAACUCCUACGGGAGGCAGCUGUGGGGAAUAUUGCACAAUGGGGGAAACCCUGAUGCAGCGACGCCGCGUGAGCGAAGAAGUAUUUCGGUAUGUAAAGCUCUAUCAGCAGGGAAGAAGAAAUGACGGUACCUGACUAAGAAGCACCGGCUAAAUACGUGCCAGCCGCCGCAGUAA
This 497-nucleotide ribosomal RNA is filed under the name uncultured bacterium. Its description in RNAcentral is "partial 16S ribosomal RNA". It matches the Rfam family "Bacterial small subunit ribosomal RNA", at positions 28 to 523 of the family's 1533-position model. The record is from RNAcentral.